UUUCAAAGGGAUGCUUAGAAUCUGUACUGAUGCCAUCUAGAAAUGUAAAUGCUCAGUGUCACACUGCUAAGGGGAGAAAGGGGCUGGUUGUGGACUGGGGGGCAUUGCCAUAGUGUGAAUGUGGACGUCCUGAAACUACAUGUGGGAACUGGCAUUCUUCCUCCCCCAGGGAGGCUGCAUGUAAGAGACAUUGUAUGGAUCAUCUCGGACAAUAUGUGUGAAAGCUAACUGGAUCUGAGGGCACAAGGAGGAGGAACUACAAUAAAGACAAUAAUGAAAGGUUAAACAAGCAGAUGUUCAGAGCUCAUGUUACAACCAGAACUUGAACUCAGUAUGUUCACAACCAAGUCCAUGCAAUUAACCUCAAUGGUGCUUCUACUCUCUAAAAAUCUUCAGAGACAUUUUUUGAGGAGUAUGAAAUAUAUUUGUGUAUUUUUAUGAAUUCCGAAUCGCAUGGACAUGAGGCUAACUGAAAACAACUCAGCUCACAAGGUGACUGCAGAGAGGAAGAAGUGAGCUGAGAUGGAAGCUGCCCCAGGAUUACUCCACCAUUAGACCAAGCCUCGAAUACCUGAGUCUUUGUGGAACAUGAUGGAUUGAAAACAAAAUGCUUCUUACUGAGCUUACCAUCUGCCAUGUUGAGUCUUCUCUCUCUCUCAGGUUAGUAUCAACCACAGCUAUGCCAACAAGGUCCAG
RNA transcript from Mus caroli (Ryukyu mouse), 696 nucleotides. It is a transcript of the gene named disks large homolog 2 pseudogene, with no coding region annotated. NCBI's taxonomy places the organism in Eukaryota, Metazoa, Chordata, Mammalia, Rodentia, Muridae. The record is from RefSeq and is a predicted model, not a curated record.